Helianthus annuus (common sunflower) is the source of this 2019-nucleotide RNA transcript. RefSeq lists it as uncharacterized. The record is from RefSeq and is a predicted model, not a curated record. The transcript is spliced from 7 exons. NCBI's taxonomy places the organism in Eukaryota, Viridiplantae, Streptophyta, Magnoliopsida, Asterales, Asteraceae.
CCAUAGGCGGGACAAACCAAAACCUAAUUCUCAUUUCAAAAUUUAAACCCAGCUUUUUCUUGCUAUAAUUUCUGUCUCUCUCUCUCUCUCUCUCUCAAAAUUCUAGAUCUGAUUACUCUCUAGGUUCAAAUCCUCCCUUCUUCUUCAGGUUUUUUUUAAUGAUGCUGAGAUUUUAGUAGAGAUAUGGAAAAUCUGGUGGGAUUCAUCUGCCGUCGAUUUGAGCUUUAGCUGAGUACAAGACUAGAUCAUCGAGUAAUAUUAAUUAUAUAGGCUUCAAUCCCACUGCCUUUGACGGCGACGAUACAUCAGGAUCUGUUUAUAUGAUAAGAUUGUUGAAUGGAACCAAGAAUCUGUUGCUGUUUUUAAGUUAGAUGGGGUUUUCAGGGAUGUUGCAUUCAUGGUGUUCGAUAGGAAAAGGCACGGUUAGCGUCGGCACCACCUUAUCUGUCUCUAGCACCAAAAUCUAAAAACUUGAGUACCACGCCGCGGUUACCGGAUUGAGUUUUGCAUCAGAAUCUUCAACGGAACCGAUAGAACUUUUGCAGGUAGUUUUCUUGGGCGAUUGGUUAAUCAGCAAUGGUUUUCAUCGUUUGCUCUCUACAUUGGGUUUGGGACGGCACGGGUCAGCAGUUUUUGGUGUGGGUGCAUUUGGGUCAGUUAUACGCUUUGGGGAUAUUUACAAUAUAGCUAAUUAGCUUUUAUAAUUGUAUCAAAAAUUUGUUGUGCAUUAGAUAUGCCCAGCUCAAGCUAUCACUAUUGAAGCUGUGGAACGAGAGGAUGGGAGCCGUAGAACGAGGUAUGAUAUUGACAUGACAAAGUGUAUUUAUUGUGGGAUUUGCCAAGAGGCAUGUCCAGUUGAUGCAAUUGUUGAAGGGCCCAACUUUGAGUUUGCUACUGAGACUCAUGAGGAGCUUUUAUAUGACAAAGAGAAAUUGCUUGAAAAUGAGGACAGGUGGGAACCAAGAUAGCUGAGAAUCUAAGAUCAGAGAGCUUAUAUUGUUACCGGUUAAACAGUGUUUGCCUUUCAUAAUGUUGUUAUUAGAAUAAACUGAAGGCGAUUCUGCAAUGUGUUUUGAUCAUGCCCUGUAAGAUCUACAUGCAUUGAGGCUCUAGAAGUUUCUAUGUUCAAUUGUUCAUCGUUGAUGAUAAUAAUGACUGCUGUGGCGUGUUUGGGGUUGGUCGUGUUCUACCCAGGGGCGGUUCUUAGAAGGGCACUGCCGCACUGGCAGGGCCACGGCCCGGGCAAGUUUUACGGCCGUAGUGCUAAUUUUCCGCAUUUCGAUCGAAAUUUUUUAUAUAUGCCCGGGCUUUUUUUAGUGCCCGUGUCUUUCGGCCCUGGCACAUUCAACGGGCAAGAUCCGCCACUGGUUCUACCCUGGAUUGGUCAACACUUUACUCUUCCGUACAUACUUUUAUAUAUUUAUAUACAUAGUCAUCAACAGAUUCAAUUAAUAAUGAGACCAAUAAAUAUAUAUUUAUCGGUAUCCUCAUUCCAGUUUGAGUUGAUUGUUCUUUAAGGUUAAGAGAAGAGUAAUCAGUUUUGAGUUAUUUUCUGAUUAAUAAGAUGGAGAGCUAUUUGAUUUUUAAUUUUGGUGCACGUUCAGCUGUUUGCUCUUAAGAACUAAGAAUUGAUGUCCACAUAAGUAGUGCAAGUUUAUAAUUAACCUUUGUGCAGACUUCUUGCAGCCUACUCGCAUGUGAAGGGGCAUGAACGAGGCAACUUGAACGUGACGUGCGUGCUUAAGCUGAAUUGUGAGGAGGGUAUAUCCACUUUUGCUUAUAUGUGAUUUCUUGUUUCUUGAGUUGCCAACCAUCUUGAUUGGUACAAGUUUUGGUCAUUGUUGUUUCACAACAAAUGUGUAGGCAAAUGAUGAUGAUUGCAACUAAACAUGGCAGAUGGUGGUCGGGCUUCUAAAGUGGCCUCAAGGGACUCUUUGCAUCCAAGAUUAGUGUUGGAUUGUAAUUAUUUAUUAUACAUGUAAGCAUUUUAGUUAUUUUUAUUGUAGUUAAUUUUUCGUA